This 412-nucleotide ribosomal RNA is filed under the name Reticulitermes sp. RspFRA1. RNAcentral's name for it is "partial 16S ribosomal RNA". The record is from RNAcentral. Lineage: Eukaryota; Metazoa; Arthropoda; Insecta; Blattodea; Rhinotermitidae.
AAAAACAUCUUUUCUCGUUAGUUUUUGAAGUAUGGCCUGCCCGCUGACUUGGUGUUGAAGGGCCGCGGUAUUUUGACCGUGCAAAGGUAGCAUAGUCAUUAGUUCUUUAAUUGUGAUCUGGUAUGAAUGGCUUGACGAGGCAUGGGCUGUCUUAAUUUUGAAUUGUUUAUUGAAUUUGGUCUUUGAGUUAAAAUUCUUAGAUGUUUUUAUGGGACGAGAAGACCCUAUAGAGUUUAACAUUUAUUAUGGUCCUUUUCUGUUUGUGAGGGUUCACUGGGCUAUCUAAUAUGUUUUGUUGGGGUGAUAGGAGGGAUUAAUUUAACCCCUCCUUUUUGUUGUUAUAUUUAUUUAUAUUUACUUGAUCCAUUUAUUUUGAUUGUAAGAUUAAAUUACCUUAGGGAUAACAGCGUAA